GGAGACGUGCCUGAGUGGCCGAAAGGAGCCGCCUGCUAAGCGGUUAGGGGGCGUUGAGCUCCCUCCCGGGUUCGAAUCCCGGCGUCUCCG
Molecule: transfer RNA, 90 nt
Filed under: Pseudomonadota bacterium
Lineage: Bacteria; Pseudomonadati; Pseudomonadota
Also listed under: 1 other name
Description: tRNA-Ser
Rfam family: tRNA
About the family: Transfer RNA (tRNA) molecules are approximately 80 nucleotides in length. Their secondary structure includes four short double-helical elements and three loops (D, anti-codon, and T loops).
Source: RNAcentral